RNAcentral lists this ribosomal RNA (471 nucleotides) under uncultured bacterium. RNAcentral describes it as "bacterial SSU rRNA". It matches the Rfam family "Bacterial small subunit ribosomal RNA", at positions 75 to 564 of the family's 1533-position model. The record is from RNAcentral.
AGCUUGCUAGUUUGUCAGCUAAGUGGCGCACGGGUGAGUAAUAUAUAGUUAAUCUGCCCCAAAGAAGAGAAUAAUUGUUGGAAACGACUUGUAAUGCUCUAUAUGCCUUUAUUACAUAAGUAAGCAAGGGAAGCAUUUAUGGCUUUGGGAUGAGACUGUACGGUAUCAGCUAGUUGGUGAGGUAAUGGCUCACCAAGGCUAUGACAUCUAACUGGUUUGAGAGGAUGAUCAGUCACACUGGAACUGAGACACGGUCCAGACUCCUACGGGAGGCAGCAGUGGGGAAUAUUGCACAAUGGAGGAAACUCUGAUGCAGCAACGCCGCGUGGAGGAUGACACAUUUCGGUGCGUAAACUCCUUUUAUAUGAGAAGAUAAUGACGGUAUCAUAUGAAUAAGCACCGGCUAACUCCGUGCCAGCAGCCGCGGUAAUACGGGGGGUGCAAGCGUUACUCGGAAUCACUGGCCGUCGU